GACGAACGCUGGCGGCGUGCUUAACACAUGCAAGUCGAACGAAGUGGCGAACGGGUGAGUAACGCGUAAUCAACCUGCCCUUCAGAGGGGGACAACAGUUGGAAACGACUGCUAAUACCGCAUACUGAAGGAGGGGAUUGCGUCUGAUUAGCUAGUUGGAGGGGAAACGGCCCACAAAGGCGAUGAUCAGUAGCCGGUGGGGUAGGAUGAACGGCAACAUGGGGACUGGGACACGGCCCAGAGUCCUACGGGAGGCAGAAGUGGGGAAUCUUCCGAAAUGGAGGAAAUGCUGACGGAGCAACGCCGCGUGAGGGAUGACGGCCUUCGGGUUGUAAAGCUCUGUUAAUCGGGACGCGGUACCGGAAUAGAAAGCCACGGCUAACUACGUGCCAGCAGCCGCGGUAAUUC
Molecule: ribosomal RNA, 408 nt
Filed under: uncultured bacterium
Lineage: Bacteria
Description: partial 16S ribosomal RNA
Rfam family: Bacterial small subunit ribosomal RNA
Source: RNAcentral